Non-coding RNA from Equus caballus (horse), 4792 nucleotides. The record is from RefSeq and is a predicted model, not a curated record. Lineage: Eukaryota; Metazoa; Chordata; Mammalia; Perissodactyla; Equidae.
CUUCCUGGCAGGCCCUGCUUAGGUAGGAAUAACCUUGCCUUGCAGCACUGAUGUCUUAGCAGCAAGUCGGCGACGCUGUCAGCGAGUCCAUCUUUGCCAUUGAGGCCCAGGGCUGGGAACAGCCCAAGGAUGCCAGGAAGCAAGGGGGCAUUUGGCCAAUGUCCCAAGGGAUCCUUAUGGGACCGGGGAUAUUGUCAACCGCCCAGCGCAGUGUACACUGCCAGUGAACGGGGGCAAAGUAAGUUCCCACUGGCAGUGAUUUCUCUUCUCACUCUUCCAGGCAGGGGGUUGCUAUGGGGACUUCAGCACCUGGAAGUGCAACUGUGGCCUGAGAUCUCCGCUGUGUGCAGAGGGGAAGAUAGAACUCUGUCCUUUCCUGCAGAAUUUCCUCUCUUGGGGGAGGCGCAGUUAUCCCAGAGCCUGCUGGGCAGAUUCUCCUGCAAAGUUCCAGCCGGAAAGGCGCCCCAAGCUCCAGAAACAGAGAACGGGGGGAUACCCUCAGCCCCCGGUAUUUACCACUUUGCUCUCUGCAGGGCAGGCCUAGCCCUCCCCAGCUCCUCCUGAUUCUGCGUUUUCUGCAGCACUUAACCUUUUUGCUGGUUCUUCAGCCUGGGCAGGACCCUGCGGGGGCUUAACAAACCCAGGGGCCCCAUGCGGUCCCUCACAGAAAGUCCUGGGACUCAGCCUGGCAGUCACGUCUCUCUGCAGGGGGAGCUGCUCUGCCCGCUCCGCUGGCCCCCCGGGUGUGUUCCAGCAAGCCCUCAGUGAUUCCACCAGGGAAGAAAUGAGUCAUCGUAUCUGUCGAUACAGGCUGUAGGCUGCCACAAACACAUACCUGCAGGAGCUUCUAAUCUCGUCAGGAACAUGUUGAGAACCUGCAGACCUGUUAUAACGGCGGACCGCUCCGUGCCAAGCAGCGGGAACUGCUGUGCUUUCUCUCGGCUGCAGCCCAGAGUCUCCUUCAGGGCCAGGGGAAUGGAAAACGGGGUUUUCAUGCUGUGGACUGUCCUGCCAGAGCAGGUUCCGGGGACUGGGCAGCUGGCAUAACAACCUGCCACAGUUGCUUUAGGGUGGACCUCCGUAAGACCCCUCUGCAAAUCUUGUCCAGGUGGGCUGUGGCGCCAGAUGGGGGACAGCGGGUCUGGUUAGGCUUUGGCAGGUGUCUGUCCUCCACUACACCCCCUCUUUUUGGCUCCAGAUCUAAGUAGGCUGCCUCCCCAAAACAGAAGCAAGACCCCCAGGCCACACUUGGGCCACUGAGAGCUGUGGGGGACACCCCUGCCCUGGGGCUGGAGGUAGGGGUGGGGUGGGGAUGGGUUCAAAGCCCCGGCGCUGAGGAGGUACAUUUGCAGGAGGAGAGAAAGGAAGACCCAGCCUGGGCUCAGGACUCUCUAGUCAGGGCCUGUGGUUGGCCACAAGGGAGCCAGAGCUGUACGAAAAUGACCCAGAGCCGCUAGGGAUCAGCUGAGAUGUGAUUGCUCCCCGGAGGGCUGAUGAGAAAGUCGUGGACAGGGAAAUCCAGACAGACCAAUGGCCAGAGCUAGGCUUACAGGUCUGGAGCAAUGAGAUCUCCCUCCUUGGCUCCCUGCCUGGAGAAUUCCUGAAACUCAGGGGUGAAUUUUACUGAGUUCAUCAAUUUCACACUUUGUUGCGUCUCAGGCAUCAGACGUGAGUGUCUUAGGGGUCCUGAGACAUAUCGGGGGACCCUCAGCCCCCGAUAGAACAGAUCCCAGCUUGAAGCAAGUGUCUGGGGACUCCUACCUCUAACUCUCCCUCUCCACUGGACGAGCUCCAUGAGGCUGUGUUGUGGAAGGAGUAGGACUCGGUGGAACAGGAAUGCAUUCUGGCCAGUCUGAGAAUCGCUAGAAUGUGCCAAGCUCAGAUUCAGAUGCCAGUGACCGAAGAUCUGUGGGUGUAACCACAACGAGGGCUGGGCACAUGGAGGAGAGACUGGAGCUGCUCUCUCGGAGUUUCUGCUUGGGCCACUGCUUCCUCAUCCUGGCAAGGUAGGGCCAGGCACGGGGGACAGAGUCCUGCUUCCAUCCUGCUUUCCCCUCGGCUUUGGGUGAGCUCUAAUGACUUGGGAGUGAAUCAGUACAGACUGAGAUGAUACGAUAGGGAAGAAAGGAGACGACAGCACCGAGGCUGGAAAUGUCACCUCUCCCAGGACCAGCCUCAGGAAACACACUCGGGGUCUGGACAGUGCUGGAGGCGAAUGGACACCUGCCCGGCCCGGCCACAUCUUCUGCACGUGCUCACGGCUCCUGUCUUCACAUCCCACAGGCACGUAGACCACCGGCCUUGCUCACUGUCCACUGAGACCAGUAGCCACUGUCGAGGCCUCGUGAAAACUUGUUAGCUUUUUCCAAGAGAGACACAGCCUCAAAGGCACCCGAGAAGAGAGAGCACAGAAACACUUGCACUGAUCAUUUAGUCAUUUCUUCAUUCAACAUGCGUGUUUUGAGCAACUGCGGGGUGCUGUGCACUGAGCCGCCACAGUGGGGGCACAGCGGUGAACAAGACAGGCCCAUGGGAGAGACACAGGGUCUGAGGACAGGGCCAGGUCUCUUCCCCGACCUCCUUGCCAGGGCCAGCACAGUAAGCCACGCCACUUGCCUCGUGAGGGGGUGGCCCCGCAAAGGCUGGGUUGGGGAAUUCAGCCUGACUUGGUUUCAGAUAACUCCGUUCCCACAAGCCAUCCAGGGUGAGCCCCGGCCAGACUUUCCUAUGAGAAUCUUCUGGCUUUGACUCCUCCCCACCCCCUCCCAGCCAUGCCCAGAUGUCCCUCGGCGAUUCACUAGGAGAGGAGGAGGCUGGGUUCAGAGAGGUGAAGCCCUAACCCCAAAUCCCUCAGCAAGAUGGGGUUAGAGCCAGGACCAGGUCUGCCCUGUUCUGCACGCCAUCCAUUGCCCUGACUGUCUCUCCCUGGUUUCAGCAAGAGCCCAUUGACGUCCCACUCCAAGGCUGCAUGUGUUGGUUGCCUACGCAGGACCCUCUCUUGAGGCCAGGGUGGAAGGAGGCCUGCGUGGAUGGAGGGGCUGACCUCCGGCUGUCAUGGGUGAUGUGAUUUUACUGCUUCCCGACUCUCUCCUGUGUGCAGCCCUGAGAGUCGCUGGCACUGACCCAGGCCUUUCCAGGGUGGAGACAAGCCUCUGAGCCAAAGUCAGCACCAAGGCCCUUUCCCCCAAGGCAUUUGCCUGUGCCAGGCCACCAGGUCCCACCAGGUCCCAUCAGGCUGGGGCGCUGACCACAGAUGGGAGGGUGCAAACCCCUUCCUGUCCUGCCCCUCUCCCCUGCCUGUCCUCCCACUGACGGAUACAAGGAGGGAGGACUCAGACCUGGCUCCGUUGCCUGUGUUCAGAACCCCACCGUGCUCUCGGCUGACUCUAACCAAAUCCAUGUCCUCGGAAACUGUUUCCAGGGGCCCCAUGUCUUUCAUUCCACCUACCAGUGCCUGGGCUCCCAUGGCCGUUCAGCCUCAAUUCCCCUCUUCAGCCAGGUGGAUCCAUUCACACCCCACCCCAGGGCCCACUGUUCCCCAGCUUUCAUGCUUAGAAGGGUAGUUACGCUGAGUGCUGGCUCUGUCUCUGUCUCUGUCUUGGCUUCCCUGACACAGAACAUGAGGCAAAGAUCUAGUCUCUUCCAAAUGAGUGAGAUGUCUCUGACGAUCACUGGAUGGGGAGCUUCUCUGAAACUCUGGACUUUCCGUGAUCCCCAAACUCCUUGAAACACAGGGUGGGUCGGUGCCCAGGAUGUGCUUUGUGGCAUGACAGAAGACAAUCAGAGCAGCCAUGCUUACACAGCACUCACUGUGCCCAGGCAUGGUUCCAGACAGCGAGUGUAACUCAUUUACCACUCACGACCUCAUGAGGUGGGCCUGUUAUGAUGCCCAUUUUACAAACAAGAAAACUGAGGCCCAGAGGAGUUAAGUAGCUGGUAAGUGACAGAGCCUGGAUAUGAACCCUAAAGCCCUUGUCUCACCAUGGUUGACACUCGGCAGUCACUCAGGUGUCUCAGCAUCUUCCAGGGACCCUGAGGGAGAGGGAGCUCUAUCCCUGAGUGGAGAUGGGGGAUGACCUUGGGGAGACCCUCCCCUCUCUGGACUUCCAGAACCCGGGGUGGGGCAGCGGGACCUCUGGGGCAAGACUCCAGUGGAUUGGGGUCAUCCUAUACAACCUUCCUGGAGGGGAAGCUUGGGGACCAUCACUCCUCUCCCUCUCUCCCUGGGACCAGAGAUGGGGCAAAGGCCCAGAUGCCUCCAAGGCAGUGGUUUCCACAGGGCCAAGAAGUGACCAACAAUACUUCCCCGACACCUCAGGAGUGGUCCAGCAUCUUGGUUCAGCCUUCAGUUUUUCCUUCUAUUUCUCACCUCUCCCAACCCAGCAACUCCCUAUGGCCAAGACACCCACACAGGCCCGGCAGAGCUUCGCUCCAGAUGAGCAGAGGCCACCGACAGGAGGGAAUGAAAUGGGAAGACCCAGCCUGAGUGUCGUUUGCCAUUUUUGACCCUUAAGAAUGAGCCAGGCUACCCAGUGGCCUCAGAGGGAGUAGAUCAACUCCUGCCUGAGGCUGCGCCACUCAGAAAGGAAAUUAACUUCAUUUCAUUCCGAUAUGUAGCCUCGUUUCUUUUGGUGACGUUGGACCUCAUUUCCCCCACUCUUUUUUGAAACGAAUGGCUAUUGAAUUGCUUACUGUGUGCCCAAUGUGGGGCUAGGACUUAACAUGCAUUGUCUCAUUUAACACUCACAUUAUCCAAGGCAAUAAAGCACUAUUGUUAUUGCUGUUUUCUGAA